Molecule: ribosomal RNA, 81 nt
Filed under: Aspergillus niger
Lineage: Eukaryota; Fungi; Ascomycota; Eurotiomycetes; Eurotiales; Aspergillaceae
Description: partial 28S ribosomal RNA
Rfam family: Eukaryotic large subunit ribosomal RNA (bases 24-81)
Source: RNAcentral
UUUUCCAACCAUUCUUUCCAGGUUGACCUCGGAUCAGGUAGGGAUACCCGCUGAACUUAAGCAUAUCAAUAAGCGGAGGAA